Molecule: long non-coding RNA, 1093 nt
Filed under: Chrysemys picta bellii (western painted turtle)
Lineage: Eukaryota; Metazoa; Chordata; Testudines; Emydidae
Description: lncRNA (ENSCPBG00000019209.1)
Source: RNAcentral
GAGGAGAGGCUGAAUGCUCUUCUGGGCCUGCUCUGCCAAUGGGGCUCCCUGGGCAGUCAGGGAGGGGGAGACGCACACUGGGUGAGCUGGGAAAGCAAGGCCAGCAGCCAGGGGAGAACAGGAAAUGCUGCGCAGGAGGGAGAGGAGGAGGGCCCCGCUAGUCCCUGCUCUCCAAUGAGGGACCCUCAGGAGGAGGAGGCCUGUGAUUGAGGACACUGAAGAGUUAACACAUGCAGUGAUAGUUACUGCUGCCUUAGGCCACUCCUCUCCCCUUGUGCUCUCAGGAGAGCUCGCUGGGCCAGGCAUGCUGGGGAAUGGGGGUGUUAGUCGUGUGCUGGGAGAGGAGUAGCAUGCACCACAUGUUGCAGACCGAUCCCCUGAAGCCAGGUGCUGGGGCCUAGCUCACAGCCCUGGUGGCGAUGGUGCGGGGUCCCAGCCCAGCCGCCAUCCUCCACUGUGCUCAGCACUUGCUUCGCUUGCAGAUGGGAACCCUGCCCAAGGCUCUGUGGCAGCAAUGGUGAUUGGCAUUCUCCUGGCCACUGUAUUCCUGCUCCUGCUAGCUUUGAGCACAUGCUACUGGCUGAAGAGGAGGGUGUCAGCGGGCAGGAUGCCGGAGGAGAGAGCCACCAGCCAAGGCUUUGACAACGUCGCUUUUAGAGAUGACAGGGUCACUAUAACUCCACUACCUGCAGAUGGGGAAGCAGAACCAGAUGUGAGCCUCCCAUAAUAGGCACCUGUUUGUACUGUAGCUGCACAUACAGAAUGAAACGUGGAUUCUGCAAGGCCUCACACUCCUCCAGCAACAUUGGGCUCAACUUUCAUUUCCAAGCCUACCCUUGAAACUGUUUUGCCUAUUGACUAAAACGGAAGCUUUGGUUGAGACAAACAAGGUCAGCUGGAAAGAGGAAUACAAGCCCCUUUUUGAACUUUUUGAGUAUGAACAGAUUCUGUGUAACUGAAUUUCCUGGAGCACGUUCAAGAGAGUCCAUCAGUACUGUCAUAUUCUUGCAGUUUCCCAUAUAGUAUUGCCCUUUCCAUAUGAAGUUCUGUCCCCUUGAUUUUAUCUAAAAUAAAAUGAAUUCUAUAAAAGUCA